UUCCCUGUGGCUCAGUUGGUAGAGCAUGGUGUUUGCAACGCCAGCAUGGUGUGUGCAAUGCCAGGGUUGUGGGCUCGAUUCCCACGGGGGAAU
Molecule: transfer RNA, 93 nt
Filed under: Salmo salar (Atlantic salmon)
Lineage: Eukaryota; Metazoa; Chordata; Actinopteri; Salmoniformes; Salmonidae
Rfam family: tRNA
About the family: Transfer RNA (tRNA) molecules are approximately 80 nucleotides in length. Their secondary structure includes four short double-helical elements and three loops (D, anti-codon, and T loops).
Source: Rfam by way of RNAcentral